GAUGAACGCUAGCGACAGGCUUAACACAUGCAAGUCGAGGGGCAGCAUAAAAGUAGCAAUACUUUGGUGGCGACCGGCGCGACGGGUGAGUAACGCGUAUGCAACCUACCUAUCAGGAGGGGACUAACCCGGCGAAAGUCGGACUAAUACCGCAUAAAACAGGGGCACCGCAUGGUGAUAUUUGUUAAAAAUUUAUUGCUGAUAGAUGGGCAUGCGUUCCAUUAGGUAGUUGGAGAGGUAACGGCUCACCAAGCCCACGAUGGAUAGGGGAACUGAGAGGUUGGUCCCCCACACUGGUACUGAGACACGGACCAGACUCCUACGGGAGGCAGCAGUGAGGAAUAUUGGUCAAUGGGCGAGAGCCUGAACCAGCCAAGUCGCGUGAAGGAAGAAGGAUCUAUGGUCCGUAAACUUCUUUUGCAGGGGAAUAAAGUGCAGGACGUGUCCUGUUUUGUAUGUACCCUGAGAAUAAGGAUCGGCUAACUCCGUG
RNAcentral lists this ribosomal RNA (490 nucleotides) under uncultured bacterium. RNAcentral describes it as "bacterial SSU rRNA". It matches the Rfam family "Bacterial small subunit ribosomal RNA", at positions 28 to 507 of the family's 1533-position model. The record is from RNAcentral.